Molecule: ribosomal RNA, 279 nt
Filed under: uncultured bacterium
Lineage: Bacteria
Description: partial 16S ribosomal RNA
Rfam family: Bacterial small subunit ribosomal RNA
Source: RNAcentral
UGCCAGCAGCCGCGGUAAUACGGAGGGUGCAAGCGUUAAUCGGAUUUAUUGGGCGUAAAGAGCAUGUAGGCGGAUUGGAAAGUUAGGUGUGAAAGCCCGGGGCUCAACCCCGGACCUGCAUCUAAAACUUCCAGUCUGGAGGAUGGACGGAGAAAGGGGAAUUCCACGUGUAGCGGUGAAAUGCGUAGAUAUGUGGAAGAACACCAGUGGCGAAGGCGCCUUUCUAGUUUAUUCCUGACGCUGAGAUGCGAAAGCAAGGGGAGCAAACAGGAUUAGAUA